Molecule: ribosomal RNA, 470 nt
Filed under: fungal sp. E13614L
Lineage: Eukaryota; Fungi
Description: eukaryotic LSU rRNA
Rfam family: 5.8S ribosomal RNA (bases 134-287)
Source: RNAcentral
AACUCCCGAAAACCCCAUGUGAACAUACCCGUACGUUGCCUCGGCGGUCCCCCCCCGGGGGGCCCGCCGGCGGCCCCGAAACGAACCCUGUGAUAGAACUGAAUCUCUGAGCUUGUAUAAUAAAUUGAGUCAAAACUUUCAACAACGGAUCUCUUGGUUCUGGCAUCGAUGAAGAACGCAGCGAAAUGCGAUAAGUAAUGUGAAUUGCAGAAUUCAGUGAAUCAUCGAAUCUUUGAACGCACAUUGCGCCCGCCGGUAUUCUGGCGGGCAUGCCUGUUCGAGCGUCAUUUCAACCCCUUAAGCCCCUGUUGCUUAGCGUUGGGAGCCUACGGCCCGCCGUAGCUCCUCAAAGUCAGUGGCGGAGCCGGCCCCCCACCCCAGGCGUAGUAGUUCAUUCAAGCUCGCCCGCGGUAGGACCGGUCCCCUGCCGUAAAACACCCCAGUUUCUCGCAAGGUUGACCUCGGAUCAG